AAGAAUUUUGAUGAUUUUGGUUUUCAAGAAAAUGACAUUAAAUACAAUAUUAUUUAUCAUAAAUAUUUUGUAUAUUAUUUUCUUUUGAAUAGUGUUAUACUAGUAUACAAAUUUGUAAUUUUUUUUUUUUUUUUUCUGGUACCAGGAAUCAAACUCACGACCUCGCGCUUGCCAGGCAGGCGCUGUGCCGCUAAGCUAAAUUCCCAGCCCCUAUUUCUUUUUUUUUCUUUUUGACACAUUUGUUAUUAUAACUUGUGAGUUUUAAGAACUAGUAUGAGUAGGUUUUUCCUUUCAUCACACAUUUUAAGAGUUUAUGGUAUCUUCAAGUACCUUAGCUCUUCCUCCCCCUCAAAAGCCAUGGGUUUAUAAAUGAGAUAUCAGUUCUGAUAUCUCAAAGAUUUUGGGUGAUUUCCGUAUACGUUUUAUAUAUCUCACAUAAUGCAGGUUACCUGAGUUGGCGAAGGUAACAUUAUUGAGUCAUCAAGUUAUAAAGAAAGCGAGUAAUAAUCAUCUUUUCUUCAUGGUGCUGACUGGCUCACCUUAAAGAAGCAGUUGAAUACUGUAUUCCUGGGGGUUAAAAAAAAGUUCCCAUAGUCUAAAACCCCGUUCAACUUUUCUCCACAAACUAUAACCAGCCUGAUUUUCUUUGGCUUCAGAACUUUAAAAGAUUUUUACUUUAUUAAAAGUUACUGUAUACAGAAUUUUAAAAAGCUCUCUCCCUUUUUAGAUCUAGGAUAAAGAAAACUGUGGAAAGUGAAGUGUGAUAAAACAAACCGAACCGGUUCAGCAGACCAGGAAGCGCAGGGCACAAUCGGGGUCUAGUGGGGAGCGGGGGUGGGGUUGGGGGAAUGGGUGGGUGGGAGCUUCCGCUGCGCAUGCGCCCUCCCCACCCGCGGGCACUGCGCGCAUGCGCCCUGCCCACCCGCAGGCGUGUCCUUGGCGGUCUAGUGAGCGGGCUAUGGAGUUUAUGCCGGGUUUCGCCUGGCAGGGGCAGAUGGCCCGCGCGGAGUAGCACAGACAACCAAGUCGUCCGCACCAGAGUCGACUGGAAGAUCCUGAGCCGAGGGACUGCGGGCUCCGGCAGAGCUGAAGCGUCGCAGCACCGCAGGACUGAGGGCGAUGAGGGAAAUCGCUGCAUUUCAAAGCAAGCUUCCAACCCCGCUUCCCUUGCUAGGCUUAGAGGCUGACGUCUAGGGCAACUCCCGCCACGGCUGGGACUGGAAUGAGUUUCUUCCUUGGGAAAUGAGCGGAGCGGGAGGAACCCUGGAGAUGAGGCGGGUUCUGGGGAAGCUGGCUUUGGGGAAUAGCUGGGCCCCUCCAGCUCUGCAAUAAAGUGUACGGCUCAGGACUACGCUUCCACACACUGAUCUGGUUAGGUUUUACAGCCCCUGCUUAAAUAUAAACAAAUAGGUAAGAAUCAACAGACAUCAGAGCAAAAUCAGCACGGAAAAUUAGAAGUAAAACAAAAUAACUCGGAGGAAACCAAGACAACAGAAUUCCCAGCUUUCAUGAAGAAAUAAGAUUUUUUUUAAAGGCUAAAUUUAGAGGACUUAAAUGUCUCUUGAAAAUAAAAAUUUUAGGCUGGGCUUGGUGGCAUGCGCUUGUAAUCCCAGCACUGGGGAGGCUGAGGCAGGAGGAUUGCUUUGAGUUAGAGGCCAGCCUGGGCUACAGAGUGAGUUGAAUUGAAUUGUAUAGUGAGACCCUGUCUCAAAAAGACAAAAAUAAAUAAGUAAAUAAAAAUUUAAAAAAAAAUUUUAAACUGGGUGUGGUAGCACAUGCCUGUAAUUGCUGAGAUAGGAGAAUCACUGAGUUUCAGGCCAGCCAGCGCUAAGAGAACCUGUCUCAAAACAAACAAGCGGAGCAUGGUGGCACACACCUGUCAUCCCAGCACAGGGGAGGCUGAGGCAGGAGGAUCAGGCGAGUUUGAGCCCAGUCUGGCCUAAGGCCAGCCUGAACUGUGUAGUGAGACCCUGUCUCAAAUACAAACAAAACCCAUACACACAAAAAACAAACAACAAGCAAAAGAAAAAAAUAUUGGUAGAAGUAAAAAACCAAUAGAAAUUUUAAAAAUAAAAAGAUGUCACAUAAUUAUUGUUCAACCUUUUUGGGUUUUUAGUUUCUUACCUAUAAAAUGGGGAUAACAACAGCAACUAACAGUGCUGCCGUGUUAAAUGAUUUAGUACACAUGAUGUGCAUAUAGUUACUGAUGCUAUUUUUUCAUUUGCCAUUUUGCUACUUGCAGCAAAGAAAAUGUGAGUGAAGGAUUUCAAUUCUGCGAAGUUGAUGUUCCAGUCUAAGGGCUAUAGACAAAUUUUAUGAGCAUUUAAGAACCUGGGGAGUACUGCUGUCACAAAUUCUUUUAAGGUAUACUAGAAAGCUAGCUUCAGAUCAUCAAAAUGGCUAAAGAAAACAAGAUCAUAAAGACUGGUGACUCUGGUCAUCAGUAGCUCUAGCGUCGCAAAAGAGAGCACAUCAUACAUUAUGUCCUUCUGAAUGCAAGAGCAUGUCACUGUGCAAGAGCAGGAGUCUGGCAAACUGAACGCUGAGGUGGUGGACGUGGUGCAGAAGAAGCUAAGGUUAUGCACACGCUGUGCAAGCAGAGGUGAUGUUCGGCUCCGAUGGACGGAGUUCUCGUGUCUUUCUGAGCUCUGGAUUUAUU
RNAcentral lists this long non-coding RNA (2659 nucleotides) under Chinchilla lanigera (long-tailed chinchilla). RNAcentral's name for it is "lncRNA (ENSCLAG00000022319.1)". The record is from RNAcentral. Lineage: Eukaryota; Metazoa; Chordata; Mammalia; Rodentia; Chinchillidae.